RNAcentral lists this ribosomal RNA (1546 nucleotides) under Salmonella enterica subsp. enterica serovar Newport str. CVM 37978. RNAcentral's name for it is "bacterial SSU rRNA". It matches the Rfam family "Bacterial small subunit ribosomal RNA". Lineage: Bacteria; Pseudomonadati; Pseudomonadota; Gammaproteobacteria; Enterobacterales; Enterobacteriaceae. The record is from RNAcentral.
AAAUUGAAGAGUUUGAUCAUGGCUCAGAUUGAACGCUGGCGGCAGGCCUAACACAUGCAAGUCGAACGGUAACAGGAAGCAGCUUGCUGCUUCGCUGACGAGUGGCGGACGGGUGAGUAAUGUCUGGGAAACUGCCUGAUGGAGGGGGAUAACUACUGGAAACGGUGGCUAAUACCGCAUAACGUCGCAAGACCAAAGAGGGGGACCUUCGGGCCUCUUGCCAUCAGAUGUGCCCAGAUGGGAUUAGCUAGUUGGUGAGGUAACGGCUCACCAAGGCGACGAUCCCUAGCUGGUCUGAGAGGAUGACCAGCCACACUGGAACUGAGACACGGUCCAGACUCCUACGGGAGGCAGCAGUGGGGAAUAUUGCACAAUGGGCGCAAGCCUGAUGCAGCCAUGCCGCGUGUAUGAAGAAGGCCUUCGGGUUGUAAAGUACUUUCAGCGGGGAGGAAGGUGUUGUGGUUAAUAACCACAGCAAUUGACGUUACCCGCAGAAGAAGCACCGGCUAACUCCGUGCCAGCAGCCGCGGUAAUACGGAGGGUGCAAGCGUUAAUCGGAAUUACUGGGCGUAAAGCGCACGCAGGCGGUCUGUCAAGUCGGAUGUGAAAUCCCCGGGCUCAACCUGGGAACUGCAUUCGAAACUGGCAGGCUUGAGUCUUGUAGAGGGGGGUAGAAUUCCAGGUGUAGCGGUGAAAUGCGUAGAGAUCUGGAGGAAUACCGGUGGCGAAGGCGGCCCCCUGGACAAAGACUGACGCUCAGGUGCGAAAGCGUGGGGAGCAAACAGGAUUAGAUACCCUGGUAGUCCACGCCGUAAACGAUGUCUACUUGGAGGUUGUGCCCUUGAGGCGUGGCUUCCGGAGCUAACGCGUUAAGUAGACCGCCUGGGGAGUACGGCCGCAAGGUUAAAACUCAAAUGAAUUGACGGGGGCCCGCACAAGCGGUGGAGCAUGUGGUUUAAUUCGAUGCAACGCGAAGAACCUUACCUGGUCUUGACAUCCACAGAACUUUCCAGAGAUGGAUUGGUGCCUUCGGGAACUGUGAGACAGGUGCUGCAUGGCUGUCGUCAGCUCGUGUUGUGAAAUGUUGGGUUAAGUCCCGCAACGAGCGCAACCCUUAUCCUUUGUUGCCAGCGAUUAGGUCGGGAACUCAAAGGAGACUGCCAGUGAUAAACUGGAGGAAGGUGGGGAUGACGUCAAGUCAUCAUGGCCCUUACGACCAGGGCUACACACGUGCUACAAUGGCGCAUACAAAGAGAAGCGACCUCGCGAGAGCAAGCGGACCUCAUAAAGUGCGUCGUAGUCCGGAUUGGAGUCUGCAACUCGACUCCAUGAAGUCGGAAUCGCUAGUAAUCGUGGAUCAGAAUGCCACGGUGAAUACGUUCCCGGGCCUUGUACACACCGCCCGUCACACCAUGGGAGUGGGUUGCAAAAGAAGUAGGUAGCUUAACCUUCGGGAGGGCGCUUACCACUUUGUGAUUCAUGACUGGGGUGAAGUCGUAACAAGGUAACCGUAGGGGAACCUGCGGUUGGAUCACCUCCUUACCUU